AAGACUAUAGACCUGCGGAGUACCUGCGGAAGGAUCAUUAAUGAAUUUUAGGACGUUCUUUUUAGAAGUCCGACCAUUUCAUUCUCUUACACUGUGCACACACUUCUUUUUACACACACUUUUAACACAUUAGUAUAAGAAUGUAAUAGUCUCUUAAUUGAGCAUAAACAAAAAUAAAACUUUUAACAAUGGAUCUCU
Molecule: unclassified non-coding RNA, 198 nt
Filed under: soil metagenome
Description: partial contains 5.8S ribosomal RNA, internal transcribed spacer 2, and large subunit ribosomal RNA
Source: RNAcentral